This 354-nucleotide ribosomal RNA is filed under the name Panthera leo (lion). Its description in RNAcentral is "12S ribosomal RNA". It matches the Rfam family "Bacterial small subunit ribosomal RNA", at positions 794 to 1345 of the family's 1533-position model. Lineage: Eukaryota; Metazoa; Chordata; Mammalia; Carnivora; Felidae. The record is from RNAcentral.
GCUUAGCCCUAAACCUAGAUAGUUAACCCAAACAAAACUAUCCGCCAGAGAACUACUAGCAACAGCUUAAAACUCAAAGGACUUGGCGGUGCUUUACAUCCCUCUAGAGGAGCCUGUUCUAUAAUCGAUAAAUCCCGAUAAACCUCACCAUCUCUUGCUAAUUCAGCCUAUAUACCGCCAUCUUCAGCAAACCCUAAAAAGGAAGAAAAGUAAGCACAAGUGUCUUAACACAAAAAAGUUAGGUCAAGGUGUAGCCUAUGAGAUGGGAAGCAAUGGGCUACAUUUUCUACAAUUAGAACACCCACGAAAAUCCUUAUGAAACUAAGCAUUCAAGGAGGAUUUAGCAGUAAAUUU